RNAcentral lists this ribosomal RNA (459 nucleotides) under uncultured bacterium. RNAcentral describes it as "partial 16S ribosomal RNA". It matches the Rfam family "Bacterial small subunit ribosomal RNA", at positions 338 to 795 of the family's 1533-position model. The record is from RNAcentral.
CCUACGGGGUGCAGCAGUGAGGAAUAUUGGUCAAUGGGCGGGAGCCUGAACCAGCCAAGCCGCGUGAGGGAAGAAGGUACAGCGUAUCGUAAACCUCUUUUGUCAGGGAACAAAGGCGGGGACUAGUCCCCGGAUGAGGGUACCUGAAGAAAAAGCAUCGGCUAACUCCGUGCCAGCAGCCGCGGUAAUACGGAGGAUGCGAGCGUUAUCCGGAUUUAUUGGGUUUAAAGGGUGCGCAGGCGGCCUGUUAAGUCAGCGGUAAAAGCCCGGGGCUCAACCCCGGCGAGCCGUUGAAACUGGCGGGCUGGAGUGCGGGAGGGGCAGGCGGAAUUCCUGGUGUAGCGGUGAAAUGCGUAGAUAUCAGGAGGAACACCGGCGGCGAAGGCGGCCUGCUGGACUGCGACUGACGUUGAGGCUCGAAAGCGUGGGGAGCGAACAGGAUUAGAUACCCCAGUAGUC